This 468-nucleotide ribosomal RNA is filed under the name uncultured bacterium. Its description in RNAcentral is "partial 16S ribosomal RNA". It matches the Rfam family "Bacterial small subunit ribosomal RNA", at positions 28 to 507 of the family's 1533-position model. The record is from RNAcentral.
GACGAACGCUGGCGGCGUGCUUAACACAUGCAAGUCGAACGGAAAGGCCCUGCUUUUGUGGGGUGCUCGAGUGGCGAACGGGUGAGUAACACGUGAGUAACCUGCCCUUGACUUUGGGAUAACUUCAGGAAACUGGGGCUAAUACCGGAUAGGAGCUCCUGCUGCAUGGUGUGGGUUGGAAAGUUUCGGCGGUUGGGGAUGGACUCGCGGCUUAUCAGCUUGUUGGUGGGGUAGUGGCUUACCAAGGUUUUGACGGGUAGCCGGCCUGAGAGGGUGACCGGCCACAUUGGGACUGAGAUACGGCCCAGACUCCUACGGGAGGCAGCAGGGGGGAAUAUUGCACAAUGGGCGGAAGCCUGAUGCAGCAACGCCGCGUGCGGGAUAACGGCCUUCGGGUUGUAAACCGCUUUCGCCUGUGACGAAGCGUGAGUGACGGUAAUGGGUAAAGAAGCACCGGCUAACUACGUG